GACGAACGCUGGCGGCGUGCCUAAUACAUGCAAGUCGAGCGGAUUGAUGGGAGCUUGCUCCCUGAUAUCAGCGGCGGACGGGUGAGUAACACGUGGGCAACCUGCCUAUAAGACUGGGAUAACUUCGGGAAACCGGAGCUAAUACCGGAUGAUUCCUUUCCUCACAUGGGGGAAGGCCAAAAGAUGGUUUACGCUAUCACUUAUAGAUGGGCCCGUGGCGCAUAGCUAGUUGGUGAGGUAAUGGCUCACCAAGGCAACGAUGCGUAGCCGACCUGAGAGGGUGAUCGGCCACACUGGGACUGAGACACGGCCCAGACUCCUACGGGAGGCAGCAGUAGGGAAUCUUCCGCAAUGGACGAAAGUCUGACGGAGCAACGCCGCGUGAGUGAUGAAGGUUUUCGGAUCGU
Molecule: ribosomal RNA, 407 nt
Filed under: uncultured bacterium
Lineage: Bacteria
Description: bacterial SSU rRNA
Rfam family: Bacterial small subunit ribosomal RNA
Source: RNAcentral